GCAUUGCCGGGUAGCUAAGUGCGGAAGAGAUAAGUGCUGAAAGCAUCUAAGCACGAAACUUGCCAAGAGAUGAGUUCUCCCAGAUUUAAAAUCUGUAAGGGUUGUUUAAGACUAAGACGUAGAUAGGUCUGGUGUGUAAGCGGUGUGAGCCGUUGAGCUAACAGAUACUAAUUGCCCGAGAGGCUUAACUAUACAACGCUCAAGGGUUUUG
RNAcentral lists this ribosomal RNA (211 nucleotides) under Parahaemophilus parainfluenzae. Its description in RNAcentral is "Haemophilus parainfluenzae partial 23S ribosomal RNA". It matches the Rfam family "Bacterial large subunit ribosomal RNA", at positions 2735 to 2925 of the family's 2925-position model. The record is from RNAcentral. Lineage: Bacteria; Pseudomonadati; Pseudomonadota; Gammaproteobacteria; Pasteurellales; Pasteurellaceae.